RNAcentral lists this ribosomal RNA (565 nucleotides) under uncultured Glomus. RNAcentral describes it as "SSU rRNA". It matches the Rfam family "Eukaryotic small subunit ribosomal RNA", at positions 546 to 1106 of the family's 1831-position model. Lineage: Eukaryota; Fungi; Glomeromycota; Glomeromycetes; Glomerales; Glomeraceae. The record is from RNAcentral.
AAUUGGAGGGCAAGUCUGGUGCCAGCAGCCGCGGUAAUUCCAGCUCCAAUAGCGUAUAUUAAAGUUGUUGCAGUUAAAAAGCUCGUAGUUGAAUUUCGGGAUUGACACAUCGGUCGUGCCUUAAGGGGUAUGAACUGGUGUAGUCAAUUUCUCACCUUCUGGAGAACCGCGAUGCCCUUAAUUGGGUGUCACGGGGAACCAGGACCUUUACUUUGAAAAAAUUAGAGUGUUUAAAGCAGGCAUUUUGCUUGAAUACAUUAGCAUGGAAUAAUAAAAUAGGACGGCAUGAUUCUAUUUUGUUGGCUUCUAGGAUCACCGUAAUGAUUAAUAGGGAUAGUUGGGGGCAUUAGUAUUCAAUUGUCAGAGGUGAAAUUCUUGGAUUUAUUGAAGACUAACUACUGCGAAAGCAUUUGCCAAGGAUGUUUUCAUUAAUCAAGAACGAAAGUUAGGGGAUCGAAGACGAUCAGAUACCGUCGUAGUCUUAACCAUAAACUAUGCCGACUAGGAAUCAGACGAUGUUAAUUUUUUAAUGACUCGUUUGGCACCUUACGGGAAACCAAAGUGU